This 940-nucleotide long non-coding RNA is filed under the name Marmota monax (woodchuck). The record is from RNAcentral. Lineage: Eukaryota; Metazoa; Chordata; Mammalia; Rodentia; Sciuridae.
GGAGAACAUCACCUAUAGAUGGUGGAGUCCAUGGGGGCUGAACUACAAAGCACCUGGGUCUGCCUGGGUUUUGAUGGACCACCUAGGGGUGACCUAGAGCCCAGCCUGGGAAGAAGCAUGAGUGACAUUGACACCUCUAGGAGGUGUCUGCACCAGAAGGCGAUGAUGGAAGUGAAUGCCCCUGGGGUUGACUGGACUUGAUGAAGAGAAUCUCUGCCGCCCUGGUGGCUUCCUGUGGCUAACUGCUUCACCCCUGUUAUCCCAUUCAGUCCUCACAGCAAUUAAAGAGUUGAAUCCUGUGUCCCUAUUACAAAUGUGUCUUUUUUUGAAACAGAAAAGAUAAGCAAGUAGCCCCCUCACGUAGCUCCUGCCUCCAGUACGGAGUGAAGCCUGGGCUUCUGUGGCUCUAAAAUGCACCCCCUUCACACACCUGUGUUUGGAAGAGAUUCCUUUUUUCCUGGAAACUCUGUGAACCUGCAAACUCAUCUGAAACUCUGUACCUAAGUGGACUUUGGUGAGAGAUCAGCCUGUGCCUCUUCCCAUAACUCCCAUUCUGGGUCUCAGCCAGACCACAAAGCAUCAAUUUCUGAAACAGGAUGUGAGUUGGCCUGCCUGGGGUGCACGGCCAUCCCUUACCGGUCAAAUUUCUCUCCCAGACUGGAGCUUCUGAAGGACAUGGUGCUCUGUCACUUAAACACUAGUUCCCGCCAAGCACCUGCACAUGACUGACUGAAUCACUGGUAAAGAAGACCAAGGAAUCUUCUCUGAACAACUUAGCCCUAUGAGAGGACAUUUGUAAUGGCACGUUACAGCUAAGGCGGUGGCUUCAUCCCUUGGAAGUUAAUGUCCCUCAUCCAGAGCAGACUUUGCCUGGAGGACCUCAGGUUCAUUGGGGCACCUGAACUACCAAGCUGUUAACCAGUGGGUGAUUAAAAAGUAG